Sus scrofa (pig) is the source of this 1368-nucleotide non-coding RNA. The record is from RefSeq and is a predicted model, not a curated record. NCBI's taxonomy places the organism in Eukaryota, Metazoa, Chordata, Mammalia, Artiodactyla, Suidae.
AUAGCAACAACAACAAAAAAGACAAAAGACAAAAAAAAAAAAAGAAAGAAAAGAACUUGGGUACAGAAAGGACACCAUUUACUCUGAGGAGGAACCUGCAGUGCCUUCUGGUGGCCAAAGGAUGUUACACACACCACUUGCAUAUUCAGGCCGUGGCUGCUGCAUUUGCCCAUUUUUCAGCAAAACUGUGCAAGGGCGAACCAAGUGAUGUCCAAGUGGACCACCUGCAUGCCAUCCAUGUUCAUCUCUACCGUCGCUGUGUCACAGCAGACUCAUCUCCUCCUAUUGAUCAGAGUCUUUACCUGCCAGUCUCUCAGGAUGAGAAACCCAGUCACCCUCUGGGAGCCAAGACCUCUAACUCUGCAGUGCCCAGGACUGUGGAGCAGAAAGCACAAGUUUCCAAAGUGGACCACUUGGAAUAAUGACAAGUGGGAACUCUCUUAUUUUUACUGCAUAACCUCCAGGCCCAAGUGGUCUGCCUGCUGGGGACACUGCACCAUGUAAGGAUUGGUAAGGGAGCGUAUACUCUGUCCAGGAGGAUAGCACACCCUUCUCACAUGGUUUCCACUUCAGCCAGCACCUCAGCUACGCCUUCAGGGGGCAUUCCACUGUCUAUCAAGAUGGCAUAUUCUGGGUGUUCUGGUAUGUGAAGGACCAGCGGAUCCCAUGGUGAUGGGCUCACUUCUCCAUCUCUGGUGCUGUCAAGUGAUCCCCUUGGUCCAGUGCUCUGUUAUCAGAGAUCUCAUUUCUGUGGAUGAAAUGUGGACUUCUUUCAUCUUCCCUAUUCCUUCCACUGUGUACAAACAAAAACUCAGACAUAGAAGACUGAACAGUGGAGAAAAGGAGUCUGACUAGCUGGAGACCCAGGGGCCUGAGGAUCAACACAAUGCCUAAAAUCCCCACCAUGAGCAAUAAAGGAAACAGAAACAGAAAAUACAAAUCAGAAGCAACUCUGCUCAAGGUCAGUAAUCUUCAAAAUGCAAAUGUCACCUAUUUUUACAGAGGCAAAUACCAAGCAUAAAACAUUUCCAGAACAAGACUCCAGCAGCAGCCAGCUCCCUAUAAGGAGGCAAGGAUGGAUUCCAAACUUAAUGCCCACUUAAAGGACUUAUGUGUGCUGUGUUGGAGCAGACACUGCAAACCUGAAAAGGACGUAAAGCUGGCCUCUGACAAACCCUCUUGAUCAGCUGAACCCUCUCCUUAAGCUCCUGGAGCCCCCUGCUCACAUGACCUUUCCAGGCACCCAGAACCCCACUGUCCCCAUGUCUACCAAACACAACCCAGGUCAGCUUCCUCUUCCUGCUGCCUCCAGGCCUUCCAUAAACCCUCCAUCCUUGUCCAUCCUGCCUUCCUCAGGAUCUAGCAGCA